RNAcentral lists this ribosomal RNA (254 nucleotides) under uncultured bacterium. RNAcentral's name for it is "partial 16S ribosomal RNA". It matches the Rfam family "Bacterial small subunit ribosomal RNA", at positions 524 to 776 of the family's 1533-position model. The record is from RNAcentral.
UACGUAGGCAGCAAGCGUUGUUCGGAAUUAUUGGGCGUAAAGGGUGUGUAGGCGGUUAUUUAAGUUUGGUGUGAAAUCUCCCGGCUCAACCGGGAGGGUGCGCCGAAUACUGAAUGACUUGGAGUGCGGGAGAGGUGAGUGGAAUUCCUGGUGUAGCGGUGAAAUGCGUAGAUAUCAGGAGGAACACCGGUGGUGUAGACGGCUCACUGGACCGUAACUGACGCUGAGACACGAAAGCGUGGGUAGCAAACAGG